AGAUUGAACGCUGGCGGCAUGCCUAACACAUGCAAGUCGAACGGGAGUAGCAAUACUCUAGUGGCGGACGGGUGAGGAAUACGUAGGAAUUUGCCCUUAAGUGGGGGAUAACCCGGGGAAACCCGGAUUAAUACCGCAUGACCUCGAAAGAGCAAAGUGGGGGAUCGCAAGACCUCACGCUUUUGGAGAAGCCUACGUCGGAUUAGCUAGUUGGUGAGGUAAUGGCUCACCAAGGCGACGAUCCGUAACUGGUCUGAGAGGAUGAUCAGUCACACCGGAACUGAGACACGGUCCGACUCC
This 300-nucleotide ribosomal RNA is filed under the name uncultured soil bacterium. RNAcentral describes it as "bacterial SSU rRNA". It matches the Rfam family "Bacterial small subunit ribosomal RNA", at positions 26 to 339 of the family's 1533-position model. The record is from RNAcentral.